GAUGAACGCUAGCGGGAGGCCUAACACAUGCGAGCCGAGCGGUAGAGUCUCUUCGGAGACUUGAGAGCGGCGCACGGGUGCGGAACACGUGUGCAACCUGCCUUUAUCUGGGGGAUAGCCUUUCGAAGGGAAGAUUAAUACCCCAUAAUAUACUGGAUGGCAUCAUCUGGUAUUGAAAACUCCGGUGGAUAGAGAUGGGCACGCGCAAGAUUAGAUAGUUGGUGAGGUAACGGCUCACCAAGUCAGCGAUCUUUAGGGGGCCUGAGGGGGUGAUCCCCCGCACUGGUACCGCGGCCUGGACCCGGAUGCUACGGGGGGGAGCAGUGGGGAAUAUUGGGCAAUGGGGGGGGGCCUGGUCCAGCCCUCCCGCGUGAAAGGCGACGGCCCUAUGGGUUUUAAACUUCUUUUGUAUAGGGAUAAACCUAGAUACGUGUAUCUAGCUGAAGGUACUAUACGAAUAAGCACCGGCUAACUCCGUG
This 479-nucleotide ribosomal RNA is filed under the name uncultured bacterium. RNAcentral's name for it is "partial 16S ribosomal RNA". It matches the Rfam family "Bacterial small subunit ribosomal RNA", at positions 28 to 507 of the family's 1533-position model. The record is from RNAcentral.